GGACUAUAGCUCAGUGGUAGAGCGCUUGCCUAGCAUGUGUGAGGCACUGGGUUCGAUUCUCAGCACCA
Molecule: transfer RNA, 68 nt
Filed under: Marmota monax (woodchuck)
Lineage: Eukaryota; Metazoa; Chordata; Mammalia; Rodentia; Sciuridae
Description: tRNA.Ala
Source: RNAcentral